Long non-coding RNA from Gasterosteus aculeatus aculeatus (three-spined stickleback), 1935 nucleotides. NCBI's taxonomy places the organism in Eukaryota, Metazoa, Chordata, Actinopteri, Perciformes, Gasterosteidae. The record is from Ensembl.
CUCUGACGUCAGCAGUACGCACGCAGAGUGUUCUUUUCAAAUGAUGUCAAGCUGAAAACUAGUCCUGACAAUCCAACAGCUAGACUAGAUCCACUUGUUAAACUAUCAAUAUUUUCUAUUUAUACAAAGGUUCUGUGUGUGGGAAUGGUCAUCUUUAAGGCUCUGUGAUCAAGUUUGUGGGAAAAGUACUUUUGGAAGGUCAGACCACGUUUCCCAAUUGUGAACACAACUCAACAGAGAUGAAAUCCAGCCGAUCCAAAGACCAGAAUCAAUCUGCAUGUGCACCAUGGGAAAAAACAACCUAUAUUUAUUCUGGAAAUUGAUACAAAGCUUUGAUUUGCAAUAAUGAACAUAUUUUGUGAUGGAGCGUUACCCUAAAGGUCACUGUCAGUUGUUGUUUCACAAAAUAGUACACCGCAUAAACAUCGAGGCUUCUCAAUACAUUAUGUUGUUCUUGUUGUUGAGAUUGUCACACCAACUUUAAAUACUGCUAGAAAGUUGAAUCUAUAAUGAUACAUUACCAAAGUUAUUACGCUGUUGAGAAACACAUACACACACACACACACAAAUUUCUUGUACAACCACAAAUAUUACGGGGAGGGCGAGAGCAUAAAGAUAAGGCUUCAGGGAGCAAAAAAAGGGGGCAUUAUUUUCCACUGUAAACACACAGCCCAGUAUUCUAACAGCUGGUUUGGCCCUACAAGUGUUUACUGAGAUCGGUUGAACACUCCUCUGGGGAGCGCCGCCCUGUUGCAGAUGAAAACCUGUAACCAAGUAAUGGCACACUUGGACUGAGUGCCCUGAAGUGCCGCCGGCCAGCGGGGAGAGCACGGGGGGAGCGGGAGCAUGAAGCAUUAUUAAGCUUUUUGACACUGUACACAAUCCCCUCUGCCUAUAGGGAACUGUAUCCAUAGUGGAAGUGAAUCAGAAGUAUAGAAUGCGGUUUAGAAACGCUGACAACGGAGUCAAUACACAGUGCCAGCAUUCUGGGGAGCAAACAUGCUGUCUAACCAUCACAAAUCCGACCAGCACCUUAGAACUGCUUAAGUAUUUUUUGUACAUUAGUUUGGGAUAUUUUUACAUUUUUGUCUACACGGUUCAAUCUGUAACUGAGACAACCCUCCAUCUCCACAAUGAACUUGUGAGUUAAUGAGUUGUUUGCUAAGAAGAGAAAGAAGUGAAUCUUCUUAUUCUAUAAAGUGUAUAUGCAGAGGUUUUGAAGAGAGCCUCAGCGAAGUCCCUCGGUGAUGCAAAACAGAAAUAGAAUUUGCUGCUCAGUGCUGAUAUCACACUACAUGGAGAUGUGAGAAGCAAAGGUUAUGACUUCCAUCGGCACAUAAUGUAUGAGCCGCGAUAACACCUGAAACACAGCACACCAUGUCCUCAGCAGUUUUGUACCUCAGUAGUUUUGCUGAGAAAGCAAAAGAAAGUGCGUUAAACGUUUGUGCAUGCAUAUGCCUUAUUGUACAUGUGUCUAUUUCUAGUAAAGGCUGAUUUGCCCAAUCUCUGUAACAUUUCUGGGUUAUUACCCAGAGCAGGGCUUAUAUGCUUCUAAAUGUGGUUAAAUCAGGGGUCUAAGCGCUGUCUCUUCAUGCAUACACUUUAGAGCUUGUACUUGUUUGCUAGUAUUAGCAAAGACAGGAGAAUAUAGCUCCUGGGGCAAAACAAAAGCACAUAAUAAAAAUUCAAUUUUAUUUUGAAAGGCUUUUGUAAUGAAAAGACCUCGGAAAUGAUGGUCAUGUGGCGGCUGAAAUAUAAAUAUUAAAGAGGUGAGGGGAUUCCGACCAUGGAGAUUUAGGUAAGAUUGGAAAAUGGACCCGUACUUGUAGAGCGUUGAAUGCAGUUGGACCGAUAUUUGAGUAUUCUCUCCAUUCAAAACGCUUCACUGAUGAAUAAUUACUGAUGACCAUACAAACUAACACUCACCCACCAUAG